AUUGAACGCUGGCGGCAUGCUUUACACAUGCAAGUCGAACGGUAACAGGCCUUCGGGUGCUGACGAGUGGCGAACGGGUGAGUAAUGCAUCGGAACGUACCCAGAGGUGGGGGAUAACGCAGCGAAAGCUGUGCUAAUACCGCAUGUGAUCUGAGGAUGAAAGCGGGGGACCGAGCAGCAAUGUUUGGCCUCGCGCCUUUGGAGCGGCCGAUGUCGGAUUAGCUAGUUGGUGGGGUAAAGGCCUACCAAGGCGACGAUCCGUAGCUGGUCUGAGAGGACGACCAGCCACACUGGGACUGAGACACGGCCCAGACUCCUACGGGAGGCAGCAGUGGGGAAUUUUGGACAAUGGGCGUAAGCCUGAUCCAGCAAUGCCGCGUGCGGGAAGAAGGCCUUCGGGUUGUAAACCGCUUUUGGCAGGAACGAAACGGUGUCCGCUAAUACCGGGCGCUAAUGACGGUACCUGCAGAAUAAGCACCGGCUAACUACGUG
Molecule: ribosomal RNA, 492 nt
Filed under: uncultured bacterium
Lineage: Bacteria
Description: partial 16S ribosomal RNA
Rfam family: Bacterial small subunit ribosomal RNA
Source: RNAcentral